Non-coding RNA from Danio rerio (zebrafish), 492 nucleotides. NCBI's taxonomy places the organism in Eukaryota, Metazoa, Chordata, Actinopteri, Cypriniformes, Danionidae. The record is from Ensembl.
GUCAGCUGUGUAACUACUUCACCAGAAUUGCUCAACAUCUUGUAAAAUUUUGCAACAAAAAAUAAGAAGUUUAAGAUCAGUCAUUGUUGAUAAGUGUUGCAGGAAAGUCAAGAUUAACAGACGAGUGGGAAAUCAAAGACUGGAUGAACGCUGGGGAAACUGACGGAGAGGUGAGCUCUGGAAAGGAGGAAGGAUACUUCCUGUUCCUACUGGAGUGACCCGCAGGUCUGAGGAGGAGUGAGGGAGUGAGAGAGAAGGCGGAGGAAGCGAGAAGGUGGCCAGAUGAGUGGCAGGGAUCCAGAGGGUUCCACCGCUCGCAUUCUCACACCCAGAAUCCUCUCUGGCUACCUGAGCCACAGCAACAUAACGUCACGCAUGCGCCUGCAUUGGCUUGCAAUGGUAUGGUGAUCUAUAUAGCUCAGGGCCUAUUCAGAUGCCUUUGUUAACAGCGCUUUCUUUGUAUUUGUUAGUGCUAUAGGCUUUUAGUCUGGU